UAAGGAACUAGACCUGAAGGUCGAAGGAAGAAAUUCAUUCGUGUUUCGUCAAUUGGCAUGUAUGUUUUAUAUGUUUGACAAUAUUUAUUAAUAUGGAUUGUAAUUUAUUUUACAAUACUGUUAUUGAAUAUUGCGUGUAUCGUAUGUGUAUCAUUUGAUGAACGCGUGCAUUUUUCUUCUGGUAGGACGUUGCGAUCCGUUAGAUUAUCAAUUUAUGUUUUACAGUAUAAGUUCAUUGAUACAUAUAUAAUUUUAUAUUUUAUAUGAUAAUAUUAAUGAUGCUGUAUAUACUGAUUGAUUUUUGACUGACGGUAUAGAAAAUGGUUAAAAGUCGCUGUUUCCUCACUAUACUAUAUUUAUAUAGUAUAUAGAGAGUAGCGUUAGAGGCUAAACAAAUGUAAAUAUUGUGUUAAUGCUAUAAUUGUUGUUUUUCGGAAUAAUGAUUGUAGUAUAUUCGGUAAUCGAUAAUUUUUUAUCAAUUCCGAGCCGUGUUUACAUUGUUAGUUUGGCAAUAUAUCUUUAACUGACUUUAUUAUUAUUAUUUAUUUAAUAAUAAAACCAAUCUGCAACGCUAUAGCUUUGGGUACUUUUAGGACCCGUCUUGAAACACGGACCAAGGAGUCUAGCAUGUACGCAAGCCAUUGGGAUAUUUAAACCUAUAGGCAUAAUGAAAGUAAAAUAUAUUAUAUGUAUAAUAUAAUAAAGGAAGAUGAUUAAUAAUAAUAAUUUAUUAUUAUAAUUAUUAUUUCGCAUUCCUGGGGCGUUUAAAUUUUGUUUUAUUGUUUACAAUUUAAUGAGAUUAUGCGCACCAAGAGUGUACACGCUGGGACCCGAAAGAUGGUGAACUAUGCCUGGUCAGGACGAAGUCAGGGGAAACCCUGAUGGAGGUCCGUAGCGAUUCUGACGUGCAAAUCGAUCGUCGGAACUGGGUAUAGGGCGAAAGAYAAUCSACCACUAGUGGGGG
This 964-nucleotide ribosomal RNA is filed under the name Crossotarsus emorsus. Its description in RNAcentral is "partial 28S large subunit ribosomal RNA". The record is from RNAcentral. Lineage: Eukaryota; Metazoa; Arthropoda; Insecta; Coleoptera; Curculionidae.